AGAGUUUGAUCCUGGCUCAGGAUGAACGCUAGCUACAGGCUUAACACAUGCAAGUCGAGGGGCAGCAUGUUGGUUGCUUGCAACCAAUGAUGGCGACCGGCGCACGGGUGAGUAACGCGUAUCCAACCUACCCUUGUCCAUCGGGAUAACCCGUCGAAAGGCGGCCUAACACGAUAUGCGGUUCUCAGCAGGCAUCUAACGAGAACGAAAUGUGAAGGAGAAGGAUGGGGAUGCGUCUGAUUAGCUUGUUGGCGGGGUAACGGCCACCAAGGCGACGAUCAGUAGGGGUUCUGGAGAGGAAGGUCCCCCANACUUGGAACUGAGACACGGUCCAAACUCCUACGGGAGGCA
RNAcentral lists this ribosomal RNA (351 nucleotides) under uncultured bacterium. Its description in RNAcentral is "bacterial SSU rRNA". It matches the Rfam family "Bacterial small subunit ribosomal RNA", at positions 8 to 350 of the family's 1533-position model. The record is from RNAcentral.